UACGUAGGCAGCGAGCGUUGUUCGGAAUUACUGGGCGUAAAGGGUGUGUAGGCGGUUGGAUAAGUGUGGUGUGAAAUCUCCCGGCUCAACUGGGAGGGUGCGCUACAAACUGUCUGACUAGAGUGUGGGAUGGGAAAGUGGAAUUCCUGGUGUAGCGGUGAAAUGCGUAGAUAUCAGGAGGAACACCGGUGGUGUAGACGGCUUUCUGGACCAUAACUGACGCUGAGACACGAAAGCGUGGGUAGCAAACAGG
RNAcentral lists this ribosomal RNA (253 nucleotides) under uncultured bacterium. RNAcentral's name for it is "partial 16S ribosomal RNA". It matches the Rfam family "Bacterial small subunit ribosomal RNA", at positions 524 to 776 of the family's 1533-position model. The record is from RNAcentral.